Molecule: non-coding RNA, 68 nt
Filed under: Neglectibacter timonensis
Lineage: Bacteria; Bacillati; Bacillota; Clostridia; Eubacteriales; Oscillospiraceae
Description: pemK RNA
Rfam family: pemK RNA
Source: RNAcentral
ACUUCUGUCCAGUCAUUGAGAAAUGAGGGCAGCCGGGUGAGAACCACGCGGAGAUGAGAUUCCUAUGA